GAUGAACGCUGGCGGCGUGCCUAAUACAUGCAAGUCGAGCGAACGGACGAGAAGCUUGCGUGUCUCAUGCGAGGGGCGGGCGGGUGAGUAACGCGUGGAUAACCUACCUAUAAGACUGGUAUAACUACGGGAAAGCGGAGCUAAUACCGUAGGAGAUCUUGAAGCGCGGGGGUGAAUGGUGAGAUACGGUGGUGCGGGCACGAAUAGAUGGAUCCGCGCUGCAUUAGCUAGUUGGUAAGGUAACAGCUUACCAAGGCAACGAUGCAUAGCCGACGGGACAGGCGGAUAGGCCACACGGGAGCUGAGCCACGGUCCAGACUCCUACGGUACGCCGCAGUAUGGAACGUUCGGCAGUGGGCGAAAGCCUUACGGAGCAAGGCCGCGCGAGAUAUGAAGGCCUUCGGAUCGUAAAACUCUGUUACUAGGGAAGAACAUAUGUGUAAGUAAAUGUGCACAUAGUGACGGUACCUAAUCAGAAAGCAACGGCUAACUACGUG
RNAcentral lists this ribosomal RNA (497 nucleotides) under uncultured bacterium. RNAcentral describes it as "partial 16S ribosomal RNA". It matches the Rfam family "Bacterial small subunit ribosomal RNA", at positions 28 to 507 of the family's 1533-position model. The record is from RNAcentral.